UAUCUACUCAUAACGUCAAUGAUGGAUGCCUAGGAGAUAAUGGCCGAAGAAAGACGCAGGCGGCGGCGAUACUCGUCGGGGAGGUGCCAACAACCUUUGAUCCGGCGGUUUCUGAAUGAGGCAACUCUCCCUUUAUAGGGAAGCCAUACGUAAACAACGUCCCGCAAGGGAUGUAAUAGCGUAGGGCAGGAUACCGGGCCAACUGAAACAUCUCAGUAGCCCGAGGAAUAUAAAUCAAAUGAGAUUCCGUUAGUAGCGGCGAGCAAAAGCGGAACAGCCUAAACCACCUCUGGUGGUGUUGCAGGGCAGACGAUAUCCGAUCUAUUUUGUCUAGAAGAAGAACCCGGAAUGGUUCCCCAUAGAACGUGAAAGGCGUGUAUUCGAAAGGCAAGAUAGCGGUAGUUUGUACCUAAGUACCAUGGGGCACGAUUAAACCCUGUGGGAAUCUGGGACGUCCAUGUUCCAAGGCUAAAUACCAUUGUCUACCGAUAGUGAACUAGUACCGCGAGGGAAAGGUGAAAAGCACCCCGGAAGGGGAAUGAAAGAGAACUGAAAUCAUUGACUGACAAGCAGCCGAAGCGCAAGUGACGGCGUGCCUAUUGAAGAAUGAACCGGUGAGUUAUUUUGUACUCUAUAGUCUAAGCAACUUAAGUUGCGAAGGCGUAGUGAAAGCGGGCCCUAACCGGGCUAAUAAGAGUAUGGAAUAGACCCGAAACCAGGUGAGCUAACCAUGAGCAGGGUGAAUGUCUCCGAAAGGGGACAGGAGGCCCGAACCCGUAGUCGCGGCAAUGACUUGGGAUGACUUGUGGUUAGGGGCAAUAUGCCAAACGAACCUGGAGAUAGCUGGUUCUCCCCGAAAUAUAUCUUGGUAUAGCGCUAUGUAUUUACGCUCGUGGGGUAGAGCACUGAAUCGGUUUUGGCGUCGCAAGACGUCAAACUGAAUCAAACUCCGAAUACACGAGUAUUAGAAGCAUAGUAGUCAAUCAUGUCGGGCUAAGCCGAUGUGUUAAAAGGGAAACAACCCAGACUCUCAGCUAAGGCCUCUAAAUAACGGCUAAGUUUACAAGGAAGUCAUAUACCGCAGACACCCAGGAAGUUGGCUUAGAAGCAGCCACCUUUUAAAGAACGCGUAACAGCGCACUGGCGGAUGGUAUGUGGCGCCGGAAAUUCCGGAGGAUCAAGCCGUUUGCCGAAGCUAGAGACUCGAAAGAGUGGUAGGGGAGCGUUGUAAAGGCAGUGAAGCAUUGCUGUAAGGCGGUGUGGAGCGUUUACAAGUGAGAAUGCCGGUAUGAGUAGCGAGAUAAUGGUGAGAAGCCAUUACUCCGUAUGUCCAAGGUUUCCUCCGCAAUGUAAAUCAGCGGAGGGUUAGUCGGUCCUAAGGGCGUGCCUCGCAGAAUGGGGUGUAGCCUGAUGGAUAAGUCGUUAAUAUUCGACUACACGGUGUAGUACGUAUAAGGGAGUUACGAAGUUGGAUAGAUCGAGCCUGCGCAAGUGGGUACCAAGCAGCGAGGAAGAGUUAACUGGAAAAUCCGUUAAUUUGUUUAUGUGAGCUGUUAUGGAGAGCUUACCGAAAGGUGGUAAUUCGAUUGAAUUCAGUUUCCGGGAAACACUUCAUUAUGUUUCCGUAAGGCAAACAAUGCUACAUUUGUACCGUACCGCAUAACCGACACAGGUGGACUGGUCGAGAAGACUAAGGAGAUCGGGAGAAAGUGGAUCAAGGAACUCGGCACAAAAGCUAGGCGUAACCUUUGGGAGAUGCCUUACCGGUGGGUAAUACCGCCGGUCGCAGCGAAAGAUUGCUUACCAACUGUUUAUCUAAAACACAGGUCCCUGCAAAGCCGAAAGGCAACGUAUAGGGGCUGACACCUGCCCAGUGCCAGUAAGUCAAAUGUCUCUGAUGAAACCGCAAGGUCAAGUUUAGGACAUAAGCUCUGGUGAACGGCAGCAGUAACUAUAACUGUUCUAUGGUGAAAUUCGUCGCCUUAGAAGUGACGUGUUUUGGAAAUUUGGCUAUAUGCUGGAAUAUCUGAGAAUCUUACACUAGUUGUUACUCUAAUAAAUUUAGAGUUAUACUGAAAAUGUGAUAAGUGCAGACAAUCAGCAGGAAAGACUAAUUGGUUGGAUUGUUGGGUUUACAGAGGGAGAAGGGUGUUUUUCUAUUGGUUUUGUUAAACAACCUCAAAGAAAAGACAGAAAGGGCUAUCAAACUGGUAUUCAAGUAUGGCAUGAAUUUGCUAUUACGCAAGGGGCCAGCAGCCUAUCUGCUCUAGAAAAAAUCAAAAAAUUCUUUGGAGUUGGAAACGUUUAUAUCAAUAAAAGAUAUGAUAACCACAGAGAACAUCUUUAUCGAUAUGUUGUGAGAAAAAGAGAGGAUUUAUUGAAUACAAUUAUUCCUUUCUUCAAAAACAACGAAAUGCAUACAAUAAAGAAAAUGCAGUUUGAAAAGUUUUCAAAUAUUCUUGACUUAGUACAAAAUGGAAAACAUUUAACUUGGGAUGGAUUGGAAGAAAUUUUGAAAAUUGCUGAAACAAUGAAUGCACGUAAAUCUAAAGCGUCACUAAUUAGAAUCCUCAGAGACCAUAUGCCAAAGCCCAUGAGUAAUCAGGGUAAGAUAUGGUCCCGACUGCAUGGCGACAUGCAGGUACAAUAAGCCUUUUAUUGUACAGAGUCUCAAUAUUGAGAUGAAGAUUUCAAGCGAAGUUCCUUGUCGGGCAAGUUCCGACCCGCACGAAAGGUAGAAUGAGUGAGCAACUGUCUUGAUCCAUUACCCGGCGAAAUUGAGAUGGCCGUGAAGACGCGGCCUAGUAAUGCAUGGACAAAAAGACCCCGGGAGCUUUACUGUAGCUUGGCAUUCGUUUGUUUAUUUUAUAUGUUUAGAAUAGGAGGGAGCCUUCGGGCAAUCGUGAAAUACCUCUCUUUGGAAUGAAUGAACGUUACCUCUAUCCCGCACAAAAAUCCGGGAGGGGAACAGUGUCUGGCGGGCAGUUUAACUGGGGCGAUUGACUCCUACAAUGCAACGGAGUCGUACAAAGGUUGGCUAGCCUUGGAUGGAAAUCAAGGUGAUAGCGCAAACGCAAAAGCCAGCUUGACUGUGAGACUUACAAGUCGAGCAGGGACGAAAGUCGGUGUUAGUGAUCCUGCGAUGCUUAGUGGUAGGCACGCAGCUUAACGGAUAAAAGCUACCCCGGGGAUAACAGGCUGAUCGCAUCCAAGCGUCCACAGCGACGAUGCGGUUUGGCACCUUUUGUUUGAUACAUUGGGGCGCCUGCAGAGUAAUCUGCAAGUCUGGUUCAGACUCUAUAUCUAACCCAUAUAGAUAAGGAAUUAAAAAUACUAGUCAAAAUCGGUGGACACCUAUCAUUUCAUGAAGAGACAUGGAGGAUAGGCCAAUACCGAGGGAAGUCAAGUUUACUUGACCCCGUAUCGACUCGAUCGAAAGAUCGGAUGGAAUUUCCAGUUGGGAACUUCCAUAUACGACUAGCUCCUUCGCAAGAAGGAUGAAGGUAUAGUCAGUGCUCUUAGUAAUAAGAGGAAGACAGCGAUGUCGGCUCAUCCUAUCCUGGGGCUGGAGAAGGUCCCAAGGGUCUGGCUGUUCGCCAGUUAAAAGGGUACGCGAGCUGGGUUCAGAACGGCGUAAGCCAGUUCGGUCUCUAUCCUGCAUUACCGUCGAAAUUUGAGAGGAGUCGUCCCUAGUACGAGAGGACUGGGAUGAGGGAACCCCUGGUGUGUCGGUUGUUGGUAAUCAUUCCAGCACUGCCGAGUAGCUAUGUUCCCACGUGAUAACCGCUGAAAGCAUCUAAGUGGGAAGCACACCUCAAGAUAAGAUUUCUUAGACCCCUUGUAGAUCACGAGGUUGAUAGGCGGGCGGUAGAAGUACAGCAAUGUAUUAAGCCUACCCGUACUAAUGGUCAUCAGAGUAGAUUAU
Molecule: ribosomal RNA, 3925 nt
Filed under: Patescibacteria group bacterium
Lineage: Bacteria
Description: 23S ribosomal RNA
Rfam family: Bacterial large subunit ribosomal RNA
Source: RNAcentral